Molecule: ribosomal RNA, 471 nt
Filed under: uncultured delta proteobacterium
Lineage: Bacteria; Deltaproteobacteria
Description: bacterial SSU rRNA
Rfam family: Bacterial small subunit ribosomal RNA
Source: RNAcentral
GGGGGUUCGCUCCCCGAGUAAAGUGGCGCACGGGUGAGUAACGCGUAGGUAACCUACCCUCGCGGUCGGGAUAACAGCUCGAAAGGGCUGCUAAUACCGGAUAAGACAGUGGCUCGGAGGAGCCAUUGUGAAAGGGGGCCACUCGAAAGAAGCUCCCACACGGGGAUGGACCUGCGUCCUAUCAGCUAGUUGGUGAGGUAGAGGCUCACCAAGGCGACGACGGGUAGCUGGUCUGAGAGGAUGAUCAGCCACACUGGCACUGGAACACGGGCCAGACUCCUACGGGAGGCAGCAGUGAGGAAUUUUGCGCAAUGGGAGCAAUCCUGACGCAGCAACGCCGCGUGGGUGAAGAAGGCCUUCGGGUCGUAAAGCCCUGUCGGGUGGGAAGAAAGGACGGGAGAGGAAAUGCUUUCGUUUUGACGGUACCACCAGAGGAAGCACCGGCUAACUCCGUGCCAGCAGCCGCGGUAA